Molecule: ribosomal RNA, 477 nt
Filed under: uncultured bacterium
Lineage: Bacteria
Description: bacterial SSU rRNA
Rfam family: Bacterial small subunit ribosomal RNA
Source: RNAcentral
GCAAGUCGAGCGGCGAGGGGGGCUCCGGUCCCCGAGAGCGGCGGACGGGUGAGUAACACGUGGACAACCUGCCCCCCGGUUCGGGAUAGCCCAGGGAAACCUGGAUCAAUACCGGAUGCGAGGGCGGCCGCACAAGCGGCCGUCGGGAAAGGCGCUUCGGCGCCGCCGGGGGAUGGGUCCGCGUCCCAUUAGCUAGACGGUGGGGUAACGGCCCACCGUGGCGAUGAUGGGUAGCCGGCCUGAGAGGGUGGACGGCCACAUUGGAACUGAGACACGGUCCAGACUCCUACGGGAGGCAGCAGCUAAGAAUCUUCCGCAAUGGGCGAAAGCCUGACGGAGCGGAACCGCCGCGUGAACGAAGAAGGCCGUGAGGUUGUAAAGUUCUUUUCGGGGAGGGGGAACGAGGCUGCCAGGCAAUGGGCGGCCGAUGACGUGAAUCCCGGAAUAAGCCCCGGCUAACUACGUGCCAGCCGCCGC